CAGUAGCCGCGAGAAUACGAAGGUCCCGAGCGUUGUUCGGAAUCACUGGGCGUAAAGGGAGCGUAGGCGGCGUGGUAAGUCAAAUGUGAAAUCCCGGGGCUCAACCCCGGAACUGCAUCCGAUACUGCCGUGCUAGAGGAUUGGAGAGGUAGCUGGAAUUCUUGGUGUAGCAGUGAAAUGCGUGGAGAUCAAGAGGAACACUCGUGGCGAAAGCGAGCUACUGGACAAUAUCUGACGCUGAGGCUCGAAGGCCAGGGUAGCGAAAGGGAUUAGAUACCCGCGUAGUCCCUGUCUCUUAUAA
Molecule: ribosomal RNA, 301 nt
Filed under: uncultured bacterium
Lineage: Bacteria
Description: partial 16S ribosomal RNA
Rfam family: Bacterial small subunit ribosomal RNA
Source: RNAcentral